This 1542-nucleotide long non-coding RNA is filed under the name Nicotiana benthamiana. RNAcentral describes it as "long non-coding RNA (NBEN_LNC026534)". Lineage: Eukaryota; Viridiplantae; Streptophyta; Magnoliopsida; Solanales; Solanaceae. The record is from RNAcentral.
CGAGGAAGAAGACGAAUUUAUUUUUUUAUGUAAUUAUGUAUAAUAUUUUAUAAUAGUUUAUAUAAACACAUCUUAUACACUAUUAUAUACUUUUAUACACCUUUAUACUAACGUCUAUAGACGAACUUAUUCCACGAUUUUCAGUUACAAUUCUUAUUCAAAACCAAUCGCAAUCUCCAUUAAAUGACUUCAAAUUUCAUAUACAACCUACUUACACUAUUUCUAACAAGUCUAAAUAAUGUCAACUCCAGAUUUUCACGAAAUCAAAUUCGAAAUUUAAACCUACAUAUUUAAACUUGUUAAAAAGCUAAUUUUCACCAUCCAAAUGGACUUGGUUUAUUGAACUAAUAUUUGAGUCAUAGUUACUGUCACACCUGAUCUUUACUUGCGCUCGCAGAGGCGUAGGGGAGUUAUUCCAAUUAAAGGACAAUCGAAACGAGAUUUGUUUAUUUAAUUCAGAGUCGCCACUUGGGAGAUUUAUGGUGUCCCACGUCACCGAUUUUAAUCCCGAAUCGAAGAAAAGAAUGACUAUGUUUAACAGUCUGCGAAUCAGAAAUCCGGAUAAGGAAUUCUCUUAAUCCGGGAGAAGGUGUUUGGCAUUCCCGAGUUCCGUGGUUCUAGCACGGUCACUCAACUGUCAUAUUUGGCUUAAUUAUCUGAUUUUAAGUUAGGCAUUCCCGAGUUCCGUGGUUCUAGCACGGUCACUCAACUGUCAUAUUCGGCUUAAUUAUCUGAUUUUAUUUAAUUGUGAACUUAUGUACAAAUUUUCACUUUUAACCGUUUUUAUUAUUAUUAUUGUUGUUAUUUUUACAAAGAAUUGUAACGUUGUGAAAACGCAUCUCGAACCACGUCACAACUAGUGUACACGUGAUUUGUCGACGUACUUUGACUUCGUUGGGAUUUGGGUUUUGGUCACAUAAAUGUACACCCGUGUUUAGGGAGGAAAUAUUAUUAAAAUACGCACCUAAAGAGUCUAGCGCGUUAUUAUUUUUUUGGAAGACCGUGCAAUUCGCUAAAAGGCUCAUCCCGAGGUCUAGGUAUUUAUUACCAUCCAUUGAGCGCCCCGCUGCCUGUACGUUUUAUUUGGCGAGGCAAGGCAAGGCUCGUUUAUUUUUUAAAAGGAUAUCCUAAAGCGACUAUGUUUUCUAUUUUUGUUUGUCUCUAAAGCGAGGCAAGGCAAGGCUCGUUUAGUUUUUAAAAGGAUAUCCUAAAGCGACUAUGUUUUCUAUUUUUGUUUGUCUCUAAAAUAAAAGAAGAAAAAUACAUAAUUUAUUUACAUGCUUGAGAGUUAUGAUAACUAAGUUUCAGACAUGAUUCGUUAAAUCAGAAAUGAACGUAAUAAAUAUUCCGUUUGACAGUUGCGGGCCCAGGCCCAACGUGUACGGCGUAAUCUGGACCUGGGCCGUCCUUACUCUGAUUGAGGCCUAAUUAAUUUAUUCUACAUAUUACUACCUAGUUACAUUAUACUAUACAUGCUCACAUCUUGUCAAAUUAAAAAGGUGAACUUGUAUUAUUUUUUGUUAACAGAUUUUCUGCAAAUUU